Molecule: ribosomal RNA, 230 nt
Filed under: uncultured bacterium
Lineage: Bacteria
Description: partial 16S ribosomal RNA
Rfam family: Bacterial small subunit ribosomal RNA
Source: RNAcentral
GAUCCUGCUCAGGAUGAACGCUAGCUACAGGCUUAACACAUGCAAGUCGAGGGGCAGCAUGGUCUUAGCUUGCUAAGGCCGAUGGCGACCGGCGCACGGGUGAGUAACGCGUAUCCAACCUGCCUUACACUCUUGGACAGCCUUCUGAAAGGGAGAUUAAUACAAGAUGUUAUCAUGAGUAAGCAUUUUCGCAUGAUUAAAGGUUUACCGGUGUAAGAUGGGGAUGCGUU